UCGCACGAGAAAGGGGACUUCGGUCCCUGAGUACAGUGGCGCACGGGUGAGUAACACGUGAAUAAUCUACCUCCGAGUGGGGAAUAACUGAGAGAAAUCUUAGCUAAUACCGCAUAACACUUACGAGUCAAAGCAGCAAUGCGCUUGGAGAGGAGUUCGCGGCAGAUUAGUUAGUUGGCGGGGUAAUGGCCCACCAAGACGAUGAUCUGUAUCCGGCCUGAGAGGGCGCACGGACACACUGGAACUGAAACACGGUCCAGACUCCUACGGGAGGCAGCAGUGGGGAAUUUUGCGCAAUGGGGGAAACCCUGACGCAGCAACGCCGCGUGGAGGAUGAAAUCCCUUGGGAUGUAAACUCCUUUCGAUCGGGAAGAUAAUGACGGUACCGAGAGAAGAAGCCCCGGCUAACUUCGUGCCAGCAGCCGCGGUAAUACGAGGGGGGCAAGCGUUGUUCGGAAUUAUUGGGCGUAAAGGGUGCGUAGGCGGUUUGAUAAGUCACAUGUGAAAUCUUCGGGCUCAACCCGAAGUCUGCAUGCGAAACUGUCGGGCUUGAGUAUGGGAGAGGUGAGUGGAAUUUCCGGUGUAGCGGUGAAAUGCGUAGAUAUCGGAAGGAACACCUGUGGCGAAAGCGGCUCACUGGACCAUAACUGACGCUGAUGCACGAAAGCUAGGGGAGCAAACAGGAUUAGAUACCCUGGUAGUCCUAGCCCUAAACGAUGAUUGCUUUGAUGUGGUGGGUACCCAAUCCCGCCGUGUCGAAAGCUACGCGAUAAGCAAUCCCGCCUGGGGAGUACGGUCG
Molecule: ribosomal RNA, 799 nt
Filed under: uncultured bacterium
Lineage: Bacteria
Description: bacterial SSU rRNA
Rfam family: Bacterial small subunit ribosomal RNA
Source: RNAcentral